CAGUCGCCACGGUAAUACGAAGGGGGCUAGCGUUGUUCGGAAUUACUGGGCGUAAAGCGCACGUAGGCGGAUCGAUCAGUCAGGGGUGAAAUCCCAGGGCUCAACCCUGGAACUGCCUUUGAUACUGUCGAUCUGGAGUAUGGAAGAGGUGAGUGGAAUUCCGAGUGUAGAGGUGAAAUUCGUAGAUAUUCGGAGGAACACCAGUGGCGAAGGCGGCUCACUGGUCCAUUACUGACGCUGAGGUGCGAAAGCGUGGGGAGCAAACAGGAUUAGAUACCCCCGUAGUCCCUGUCUCUUAUAC
RNAcentral lists this ribosomal RNA (301 nucleotides) under uncultured bacterium. RNAcentral describes it as "partial 16S ribosomal RNA". It matches the Rfam family "Bacterial small subunit ribosomal RNA", at positions 509 to 807 of the family's 1533-position model. The record is from RNAcentral.